This is a long non-coding RNA of Clupea harengus (Atlantic herring), 3553 nucleotides long. RefSeq lists it as uncharacterized. The record is from RefSeq and is a predicted model, not a curated record. The transcript is spliced from 2 exons. NCBI's taxonomy places the organism in Eukaryota, Metazoa, Chordata, Actinopteri, Clupeiformes, Clupeidae.
GGGGGGGGAGGAGAGAGAUUGAGCAUUUCCCGUUAACAGCGUCUCUUAGCAUUUUAUGAAGACUUGAAAGGUAUACUUUACUGAAGUUGUUUACUUUGGUAUUGUGAAUAACACCGCCAUAACGUCGUACCCUGGUCGGAGAUAGAGCGUUUAUUUCCGAAAAUGAUUGGGCAACAUAAAACAACUUAACUGAUUCAGAGCAUGCCUAUUACAAAUUCUAUGACCAAUUGAUCUUGGCAGUCUUCAGGAAAGCGUUCCUGUCUAGAUCUAAUGUCUUCAGGAGAGUGUUCCUGUCUAGAUCUAAUGCCAGUCUUCAGGAGAGCGUUCCUGUCUAGAUCUAAUGCCAGUCUUCAGGAGAGCGUUCCUGUCUAGAUCUAAGGCCAGUCUUCAGGAGAGUGUUCCUGUCUAGAUCUAAUGUCUUCAGGAGAGUGUUCCUGUCUAGAUCUAAUGUCUUCAGGAGAGUGUUCCUGUCUAGAUCUAAUGUCUUCAGGAGAGCGUUCCUGUCUAGAUCCUCCCAGGGAGAGAGCCACAGCAAAAUCCACAAAGAUUUGUGAGUAUGAGUAAGAAUUUUCUAGAAUUCCAAUUUGAAGUAACACAGGUAAUAGCAGAAAUAAGUGGGGUAAAAAGUCAAAUGGAGAGAAAAAAGGGCAUAAGUGCCCAAAAAAUGCCACCUAAAUCCCGCACGCAGCUGGAGAUUAAAUGUCUGAAGGGGUACGGGACUGUAAAAAGUUUGGGAACCACUGUUAUAGUGCAUUAAGGCAAUCUGACAUAGAGUCAUCUUGCUUGCUAUGUCUGUGUAUUGUCUUAUGCCCCACUGUAUAAUUAUGCUCUUCUUCCUUGUAGUGCAUUGUAUGAGUUCAAACCUAGGAUAACUUUAUAUAAAGUGACCUUAUUAUGUAUUGUUUUCUGUUGUCUGUUUAAAAGAUUACAUUACCAAAACAUUUAAGGUACACCCUGGGCUCAUUAAACUUUGAAUAAAAACAUUACAAUUGGUGCUGACAAUAAGUUAAUGAUUUCUAAUUGCAGAUGCUGAGAAGGAAGUGAAAUGAGAGAAGGGAGAGAAGGCGGUGGAGUUCCUCAUAGCAGACAUAGCAGCCCAUUCAAAACACGCCCAGCUGAACUAAUCAUGGUUGUAGCUUCAUGUCCAACCUUCUUAAACAUGGCAAACUUAAAAAGUUAUUUCUCAACAAUUAAAGGUAUGGCCCAAAUAUACUGAAUCACGUACAUUGUAAUUAAAUAACUUUUCUCACCAGAUCUGACACGACCAAAUGAAAUGUGAACAAAAUGUGAACGAAACAACAACGCAGAUCUUGUAGGGAUCAUGUUCAUGUUGUCAGACACUUAUAAUAACAUUAUGAGCAUUAUGAGCCUGUCAGUGGCAAAAAAAGGGCGGUUUAGUUUGACCCCAUUUAGCCAUUUUGCGGUUGUCAUUUAUAGCGUUCUAACUCACUACGAUUUUGAACAUUUUUGUCCCUACUAAAAAUGUGGCGCCAAUAAGGUCUAAAAAACAGGGGCCAGGUUGAAAAAUGUUGAAAAAAUAAAAAGCAAUACACAUCGGCAACUUAGUUCUAAGUUAAUUAGCUGUUCAUUUUUAAUCCCUUGCGAAUACAAAUCUGACUAACAUUUAGCCUACAUCCGUGCUUAUUUGGGAAGUUUUAUUUUAUUUUGACUUGCUAUGCUACUAUGUUCUUUCUUAUAGUGGUCACCUGCACUCCAAUCUGGUCAUGCCCAUCAUACUCAUCUCACGCAUGCUCAAAUCUACAUGAAUGACAACACUUGCUGCCAUGGGUGGAGAGAUGCAUUCACAUGGAUUCAGCCACUUAAGGACUAGAUCUGGAUUGGGGAUUCCACGCCAUCUGAUAUCAUGAGAAAUCUGUAUAUAGGCCAAGAAGCAACAGUCAGAACGGAACAUGGAACAACUAACUGGUUCAAUUUUGGGAAAGGAUUACGGCUACAUAUUGUCACCAUACCACCAUUCAUGAUGAACACAUUGUGCGGAAUGCAGGCCUGGAUGAAGCAGAUGCUGGAAUUAAAGUCGGAGGAAGAAAUGUCACAGCAUCUCAAAUAUGCCAAUGAUACUACUCUCAAAUAUACUAGAAAUUAUACUACUCUGAUGGCCGAGAAUGAGGAAGACCUGAAGACAUCAUUCAGGAAGGUGAAGGAAGAAAGCACAACAGCUUUGAUGCCCAACUCCAAGAGAACCAAGAUUACGUCCACCAGCCCUGUUAAGAUGGGGCUAAUAAAUGGGGAGGAAGUGGAGACGAUCACAGAUUACAUGUUCUUUGGCUUGUAAAUGACUGCUGAGGGAAACUAACCCAGAAAUCAAGGGAUGCUUGCUUCUUGGAAGGUCGGGGUUGGCAAGCCUAAACAACAUUUUGAAGACCAGGGACAGCCCAAAGGUCUAAAAAGGAGAGCAUUGUCAAAGCUAUGGCGUUUCUAGUAGUGAUGUAUGGAUGUGAGGGCUGGACUAUCUGUAAGACCUAAAGAAUCAGCGCAUUUGAAGUUUGGACUUGGAGGAAACUGCUGAGAAUGACUUGGAUAGAAACUAAUUAAGAAUUGAGGAAAUACAACCAGAUUGCUCCUUGGAAGGAUUCACGAUGUGACGGAAGCUAAAAUAUUUUGGACAUUUCAUACGAAGUUUUGAAUCCUUGGAGAAGGAUCUCAUGAUGGGGGGACGAAACUGAAAGGAAGAGCAGAAGAGGACGGGCUGAGAUGGAUACACAGCAUGGCUGGAGCAAUGAGCAGAAGAAGACAGGCUGAGAUGGAUAGGCAGCAUGACUGGAGAAAAGAGCAGAAGAGGAAGGGCUGAGAUGGAGCAUGACUGGAGCAAUGAGCAGAAGACAGGCUGAGAUGGAUAGGCAGCAUGACUGGAGCAAUGAAGUUGAAUCUGAAGGGGCUCAAGAGUGCUUGAUAGAAGGAAGGAUCUGACGUGCUAAAGUCCACAAGGUCACAAAAAGUUGGACUCAACUAAAUGACUACUGCUAAGAUUAGAUCACUCCCACAAAGCUCUUCUAACGUUGACACUUCCUUCCCCUAUCAGAACUGGUUGUCAUUGUGAUAAGCAGUCUUUUCAUUUAAUUUUUGGUCAGCUGACAAAAAGGCUUGGUAUCGCUAUGUGUUUUUCCAUAAAGUAGAAAUAUUUCCAACAUUUGAAAUCAGUAUUUUCUGGCCAAAAUGCAGCAUUUCUUGUCAAAGCAACAUCAAGGAAAUUACUUUCCAUGAGACAUAAAGUGCUGUGUGUGAACAUAGCCAUACUGUAUGCAGUAAAGGUUUGUCCUAUCCAGUGCUGCAUAUAAAGAGUCAUUAGUUUGUUAUUUAUGCUUGUCAUUGUCAACUAAUCCUUUUUAAAGUAUAUUUCUGUAUAUUGACAAUUAUGGUAUGGGUAAAUUAUAAACCUAUUUGGAUAAAUGUUGGUAUCAUCUUCAUAUUUCUGCAAAUGUGUUUACUUGGUAAAUGUCUGAUUUCUAAACUUUAUGGAUCAAUAAUGCAAUGUGAAUUAUGUUCUUCAGUUUUACCUGACUUCAACUGAUUUGAAUAAAGUCAAUUCUUGUCA